This 231-nucleotide unclassified non-coding RNA is filed under the name Hevea brasiliensis (rubber tree). Lineage: Eukaryota; Viridiplantae; Streptophyta; Magnoliopsida; Malpighiales; Euphorbiaceae. The record is from RNAcentral.
CCACCAUUGUAAGCUUCCAACUGGAGGCGAUACACCGAGAGGUAAAUGGCCUCUGGUUCCGACAACCCUUCGACUGAAGACUCGAACAUGAAAUUCUCAUGUAGAACUGCGAGCCUGUGAUCCGCUUCCGAUGGACUGAUCAUGCAAAAUUCCAGAGAAAAUCACCGUAUCGGUUCGUGAACGGUGACCAGCUUCGUCCCGUCGGGGAACGUCGCUUCGACCUGAAUGUCG